Molecule: long non-coding RNA, 321 nt
Filed under: Phaseolus vulgaris (common bean)
Lineage: Eukaryota; Viridiplantae; Streptophyta; Magnoliopsida; Fabales; Fabaceae
Description: long non-coding RNA (PVUL_LNC002893)
Source: RNAcentral
GAAAAUAAGAGAAAGGAGGUAAACGUGGUAUAUUAUUGAUACGGAAAAAGGGAAAAUACAGUAGGAGGCUACUGUCCAGAGCUAUGCUCCUAUAGAGAAUUAGCAUUCUCCAUUCUGCAAAACUGCAAUAUUCUUUCCCCCCCAUUCUCAUGCUAGGCUGUGCCUAUAAGGAUACACGCCUCACACACCCACAAAUCCCGUAACUAACUAUCACCCAACCUUUUCUUUCUCUCUCUCUCUGCCACCUCAUCAUGCUCUGUUAGCCUUUUCAAUUCUGUUUCUCCUAGUGUACACACGCCAUAUUCUAGGCCUAUGUAAACC